GUCUACGGCCAUACCACCCUGAACGCGCCCGAUCUCGUCUGAUCUCGGAAGCUAAGCAGGGUCGGGCCUGGUUAGUACUUGGAUGGGAGGAAUAAACAUGUAUAGAAAUUC
This is a non-coding RNA of Canis lupus familiaris (dog), 111 nucleotides long. The record is from Rfam. NCBI's taxonomy places the organism in Eukaryota, Metazoa, Chordata, Mammalia, Carnivora, Canidae.